Molecule: long non-coding RNA, 4114 nt
Organism: Syngnathoides biaculeatus (alligator pipefish)
Lineage: Eukaryota; Metazoa; Chordata; Actinopteri; Syngnathiformes; Syngnathidae
Exons: 5
Source: RefSeq, a predicted model, not a curated record
CGAGGCUUCUUCUUACAACCUCACCGAUGCUCUGGGAAACUAAGCUGCUUGGAACAUUAACUACACGGACGCCUUCUGCCUUUCGUUUUUGGGCCGGCUGGAACUUUUGCUAACUUGGAAUACCCGCUGGGACGAACAAUUUCCUGUUGGGGAACACUCGUUCAACAUUGUUACCCACCUCAGUGUAGGCAAACACGAAGGAAGCCUGAAUGCGCCUGCUUGUAAUUAUCCUCACAGGAGGCUGAGGAAUGGAGAGAAAUAUGUCGCCUGCAAAGUGAUUCACCCAUCAACCCCCACAACCACGAUCCCCACGACGACAUUUCCCCACAGAAUCAACGCAGAUUACGACUGCCGCCGAAAAGUGCAGGCCAUGUAUCAGAAUCAGCUGGAGGAUGUGCCUGGGGUGAUGGAAGUCUGGGCCUUCCUGCUCAAGCUGCUGCGCCCGCAACCUGACCUCGGAUGAGCGGAGGUGAAGGGAUGGCUGGAUGGACAGACAGACAGAUGCUUUAACAAUGAUGGGCUUCUGCUGAGCGAGCAACAGUUGAAAUUUAGACAUCAAGGUGUCGCUGGGAAUUCUUUGAUGGAAGAGGAAGAGAAUGCGUGCUAGCAGAGGAAGCCGCUGAUCCUCACAAAGGUAGCGGGAGUGCUGGAUCCAAUCUCAGCUGCCAUUGGGCAGGAGCGAGGGUACAGCUGAGGAUAAAGUCCAUCACAAAGCCCUGAUCUGAAUCCCAUUGAAAAUUUGUGAGGAAGAUCUGAAAAGGCAUGUCCGAGCAAAGCAACCGACCAAGCUCACCCAGCUAGUCUGAUGUGACUUUAGACAGUGAGACAAAAAAAUGAAGUGCGUUAUUGCACUGUAUGUAAACGAAUUCAACUGUAUUUUGGUUUCAGACUCCUGAAUUGCUUUAAUUUUUUGCCGUAACACAUGCAAAAGUUCCAGAGAAGACUUUGUUGUCUUUGAUGGUUAUCCAAUCACAAUAAUGGUUGUGUCUGUCCUGGAAAUUGGUCAGCAGUCCUGGCUCUUGUUCCCCAGUGCAGAGAUAUGGAAAAUUUAACCGUGGAUGUACUUUAAUACCCAUCAUGCAAGACAAUAAAAAUACUGAUGCCAAUGUGAUGACUCGUUAACGUGAGGCUGAAGCAUCACAUUGUUGUUUACUCAAAGAGGGGGACUACGUCAGAGGUGAGGUAACACCCCCCGGUGCUCAAAGCUGUCAGCGUCCUCCUGAUCUCAUUUACAAGAUUGAUUCUGUGUGAUGCCUAAAAUCCAGACACAGAGUGAGACUUUGUCCAGCCUCAUUUGGUUCGCAGCAUUUUCGCAGCGUCGGUUUUCACCCUGCCAAAAAGGAUGACGGCUUGGAAACUGAAGAGUGCCCUCACAGCUUGACACUAGAACUGCAGUGACGUAAAGCUUGUUGUUGUGGCUUUCGGGUUUCCCCCAUCAUGGGUAUCAUAGUGGGUCAUAAUUGUAAUUCGUCUUUGAUGUUUGGAAAAAUGGACCCUAUGUUCAUUGCAGACUGAUCUGUGGUUAAUCUUUACAAAUGUUUCUGUAUUUUGAUACUUGGUGUAAAAAUCUGAGAACGUACGUAAAUCAAUAUUUUGGUCAAUAAUCCCAUACACAACUAAGAUUAACACGUUUAACGUGAUACUAUCAUAAUUUAAUUCAAACUACUUUGAAUUGUUUCUGAAGCAAACUCACGACUAUUCUUUGGUCUAAAACAGGGGUCAGGAAGCUAUGGCUCGUGAGCCACACCUGGCUCUUUUGGCGGUUGCGUAUGGCCCGCAGAGCUCACAUAACAACAUACUGUAUACACAGCAGGGGUGCUCAAUGUCGUGACUGCGUGGCCCAAAAAUAACAACAACAAGGGGCAAUUUAGAGUAAUUAAUUAAUGUCGCAUGUUUUUGGGAUGUGGGAGUAAACCGGAGUGCCCGCAGCAAACCCAAGCAGGCACAGGGAGAACAUGCAAACUCCACACAGGCGGGUCAGAAUUGAACCCGGGUCCUCAGAACUGUGAGGCUAACGCUUUACCAGCUUCUCCACCGCGCUGCCAGCAACAGUAUAAUGUUAUUUAAAUUAAUUUAGAGACUUAUUGUACUCUUAACGUGUUGGUCUUAAAAUGCACAAAUUCACUUGUAUUUAGUUUUAAAAAUAUUGCAUGGCUCUUUUGGAAUAACAUUUGAAAAUAUUUGCCGUUUAUGGCUCUCUCAGCCUCAAAGGUUCCCGACCCCUGGUCUGAAAGAAGUGACUCGGAAUAUAAUUUUUGCGCUCGAGGCAACUUGAAAUUGCAAAAUAAAACUUAAACAGGUGAAGGGUGAAAAUACUCGUGGGAUGAAUCCUGGUAGUUGGCCAACUGAAAGAGUUCAACAUACAAUUCAGUAAUCCUGCUCUUGUAGUGUCCACAUCAGAUUGAGCCGUUUUAAUAACGGAGGGGACGGGGACAAAAUCGAUUUGAUUUGGGAUAGGUGGAAAAGUGACUACAAAAUCGGGAUCAUUCAGAUCCAAUUACUUGUUUGGAAAUAUUGGCCACAGAAGUCAAAAGUUUGACAGCGUCAGCAGGGUUUGUUUUCUAUCAUAUUUCAAAACCUAUUUUGGACACUCCAGUUUCUCCUAAAAUGGCACCAAGUUAUCAACUUACAACUACAGACUGAUCCGAACAUAUUUGGCAGGGCAGGGACCCGAAAAAAGUCUGGACGGAGCUGCUUGCAUGAUGAUUUGGAUCGAAUACUGAAACUACCGCCCAUCUUGCCACCGUCCAACUAGACAAGUGAGGAUCAGGGCUACAAAAAAAUGAAUGGAUGGAUGGAUGGUUAACAUUUUUAUUUUAUCUACAUUCUCUUCUUAUUUAUGUUAGCUUAAAAAGGCUUAUUUUUCUUUGAUGUCCACAAACAUACAUUAGGUUGAACCCUGUGGUCAAUGUAAUAUGAUCAUUUUUAUGGUUUAGCAGAUAACGAAAACAAAAAAUAUUUGCCUGUGUAGUUUAUUUCUCAAAGCAGGCUUACUCUUUUUUCCGCCUCAAUUUCUACGAAAUAAAAGGUGUGAAUUGAAGACGAUGGAAUGCGCCAAGGGGCCGACUCUUAUCUGUGACCUUUUCUCAAGGCCUCCGCUCACAGAUUGUAUCGACUCUAUGGGUCUUAAAUUUCAGAUGGAAUUGUCUCAAUACUGUCUCUGCCUUUAUCGCAUAUAUAUAUAUAUAUAUAUUUCUAUAUACUCACACACAAACAAAACGCAUCUCAUUUUUUUGUCUCACUGUCCGAAGUGACACCGAUCUGUCAGGAAGAAUGGGCCAGGAUUCCGGCAGAGAACUGUCGGAAGCUUGUGGAAGGUUACCAAAAACGUUCGACCCAAAUCAUACAGUUCAAAGGAAAUGCUACGAUACUAAGGAAAAUUUGUAAACUUUUGACCUAGAAGAAAAUAGUAUAGCAUUCUCCAAGAAAUUCUCUCUCUCAUUAUUGUGGCAUUGAACAUAAUUAAAUAAUUUUGGUGAUUCUGACUGACCUGAAACAGGAGAGGUUUAGUCUGAUUUGACUUCAGACAAUUAGACAAAAAUGAAAUGUUUGUUUUUGCACAGUGUAUGUAAAAUUCUGGCAUCUUGCACAACUGUGUCUCUUGUAAGGAAUAUCCAUCCAUCCAUUUUCUUAGUUGCCUAUCCUCACAAGGGUCGCAGGAGUGCCGGAGCCUAUCCCAGCUGUCAACGGGCAGGAGGCGGGGUACACCCUGGACUGGUUGCCAGCCCAUCGCAGGGCACAUAGAGACAAACAGUUGCACUCACAAUCACACCUAGGGGCAAUUUAGAGUGUCCAAUUCAUCUUGCAUGUGUAUGGGAUGUGGGAGGAAACCAGAGUUCCCGGAGAAAACCCACAAAUGCAAACUCCACACAGGUGGGGCCCGGAUUGAACCCGGGUACUCAGAACUGUGACGAACGUUUUCCAGCUACGCCAUCUUUAUAUUGGAAACAAAAAAAAUAUAUCCUGUAAAAGGGGAAAAAAACCAACUUGUAAACAAAAAAGCAAGCACUAAAUGUGAAAAAAAAACAUCCUGUAAACAAAAAACUAUAUAAACAAAGAAAAAAGCAACAAGGAUUUCCCUCAAUGCGGGUAAUGAUAACCAACAUUAAGCAUC